Molecule: ribosomal RNA, 227 nt
Filed under: uncultured bacterium
Lineage: Bacteria
Description: partial 16S ribosomal RNA
Rfam family: Bacterial small subunit ribosomal RNA
Source: RNAcentral
UACAGAGGUCUCAAGCGUUGUUCGGAUUCAUUGGCGUAAAGGGCGCGUAGGCGGCGUGACAAGUCACUUGUGAAAUCUCUGAGCUUACUCAGAACGGCCAAGUGAUACUGCAGUGCUAGAGUGUGGAAGGGCAAGUCGGAAUUCUUGGAUGGUAGCGGUGAAUGACGUAGAUAUCAGGAGGAACACCGAGUGGCGAAGGCAGGUCUCUGGGCGAUUAACUGACGCUG